AACGAACGCUGGCGGCAUGCCUAACACAUGCAAGUCGAACGAGACCUUCGGGUCUAGUGGCGCACGGGUGCGUAACGCGUGGGAACCUGCCCUUAGGUUCGGAAUAACUCCCCGAAAGGGGUGCUAAUACCGGAUAAUGUCUUCGGACCAAAGAUUUAUCGCCUUUGGAUGGGCCCGCGUUGGAUUAGCUAGUUGGUAGGGUAAAAGCCUACCAAGGCGACGAUCCAUAGCUGGUCUGAGAGGAUGAUCAGCCACACUGGGACUGAGACACGGCCCAGACUCCGACGGGAGGAAGAGGGGGGGAAUAUUGGAAAAGGGGCGAAAGCCUGAUCCAGCAAUGCCGCGUGAGUGAUGAAGGCCUGAGGGUUGUAAAGCUCUUUUACCGGGGAUGAUAAUGACAGUACGGGGAGAAUAAGCCCCGGCUAACUCCGUG
RNAcentral lists this ribosomal RNA (433 nucleotides) under uncultured bacterium. RNAcentral's name for it is "partial 16S ribosomal RNA". It matches the Rfam family "Bacterial small subunit ribosomal RNA", at positions 29 to 507 of the family's 1533-position model. The record is from RNAcentral.